RNAcentral lists this ribosomal RNA (427 nucleotides) under uncultured bacterium. RNAcentral's name for it is "partial 16S ribosomal RNA". It matches the Rfam family "Bacterial small subunit ribosomal RNA", at positions 355 to 774 of the family's 1533-position model. The record is from RNAcentral.
UGGGGAAUAUUGCACAAUGGGCGCAAGCCUGAUGCAGCCAUGCCGCGUGUAUGAAGAAGGCCUUCGGGUUGUAAAGUACUUUCAGCGGGGAGGAAGGCGAUAAGGUUAAUAACCUUGUCGAUUGACGUUACCCGCAGAAGAAGCACCGGCUAACUCCGUGCCAGCAGCCGCGGUAAUACGGAGGGUGCAAGCGGUAAUCGGCAUUACUGGGCGUAAAGCGCACGCAGGCGGUCUGUCAAGUCGGAUGUGAAAUCCCCGGGCUCAACCUGGGAACUGCAUUCGAAACUGGCAGGCUAGAGUCUUGUAGAGGGGGGUAGAAUUCCAGGUGUAGCGGUGAAAUGCGUAGAGAUCUGGAGGAAUACCGGUGGCGAAGGCGGCCCCCUGGACAAAGACUGACGCUCAGGUGCGAAAGCGUGGGGAGCAAACA